UUGGGGAAGGAAGGAUGAUACAUG
RNAcentral lists this non-coding RNA (24 nucleotides) under Cricetulus griseus (Chinese hamster). The record is from RNAcentral. Lineage: Eukaryota; Metazoa; Chordata; Mammalia; Rodentia; Cricetidae.